AAAGAAAAGAGAAAUCAAAGAUAAAAUGAACACCCAAAUCAAAGGCAUUGAGCUUUCCAAAAUAGCUAUAAAGUGAAGUUCUAGAGAAAAAGAGUCAAAGAGAAUGAUUGAAACGACGACAGGGAGGACAACCACAAAAGAGCCUACAACAGGCGAUGAGCAAGUCCAUUUUGAAACGCAUUCUAAAUGGACUACUGGCUUAUGUGGAUGCUGCGAAGAUCCCUCUAAUUGUCUAGUUACUACUUUCUGUCCCUGUAUUACCUUCGGCCGGAAUGCAGAGAUCAUUGAUAAGAAUGCUGUAUCAUGUGUUUGUUCUGGGUUGGUUUUCAUGGUGCUUUCGUACGUGGGGGUUCCAUGUUUGUACUCCUUCACAUAUCGAAGCAAGCUAAGAGGGCAACAUUCAUUGCCAGAACACCCUUGUGCUGAUUGCUGUGUUCAUUGCUGGUGUCUCCACUGUGCUCUUUGUCAAGAGUACCGAGAGCUUAAGAAUCGCGGACUCUACCCUUCCAUAGGUACUUUCUUUCUCUGAUUGAAACUUUGAAAUCAAGAUCUCUCAUCUCUGAAAACCUGCAACUUCUGCCCUUAAUUACCACAGGUUGGGCAGCCAAUGCAGAGAGAAUGAACAAAGUUGGAGCCAUGGCACCUCCAGUUGUUGAACAAGGUAUGCCUCGUUAGGAUUUAUGAGGCUGAGGACAUUCUUAAUUUUUACUCUAGAGUCGAUCAAUGAAGUGUAAUAGUGUGUUGAACUGUUGAUCUUUCUUGUAAUUCAUUACCAUAUUCCAACUUCUUGUGUUGUAAUCAAUAAGGUUAUGGAGUUGGAUUGCUCUACAUAUAUAGGUAUUCUACUUACAAUCAUCUCUUUUUUUUUUUUUCAAUUCCUC
RNAcentral lists this unclassified non-coding RNA (881 nucleotides) under Hevea brasiliensis (rubber tree). Lineage: Eukaryota; Viridiplantae; Streptophyta; Magnoliopsida; Malpighiales; Euphorbiaceae. The record is from RNAcentral.